CAGUAGCCGCGGUAAUACGAAGGGUGCAAGCGUUAAUCGGAAUUACUGGGCGUAAAGCGUGCGUAGGCGGUUUGUUAAGUCUGUUGUGAAAUCCCCGGGCUCAACCUGGGAACGGCAAUGGAUACUGGCAAGCUAGAGUGUGUCAGAGGAUGGUGGAAUUCCCGGUGUAGCGGUGAAAUGCGUAGAGAUCGGGAGGAACAUCAGUGGCGAAGGCGGCCAUCUGGGACAACACUGACGCUGAGGCACGAGAGCGUGGGGAGCAAACAGGAUUAGAUACCCCUGUAGUCCCUGUCUCUUAUAA
This 301-nucleotide ribosomal RNA is filed under the name uncultured bacterium. RNAcentral describes it as "partial 16S ribosomal RNA". It matches the Rfam family "Bacterial small subunit ribosomal RNA", at positions 509 to 809 of the family's 1533-position model. The record is from RNAcentral.